This 468-nucleotide ribosomal RNA is filed under the name uncultured bacterium. RNAcentral's name for it is "partial 16S ribosomal RNA". It matches the Rfam family "Bacterial small subunit ribosomal RNA", at positions 28 to 507 of the family's 1533-position model. The record is from RNAcentral.
GACGAACGCUGGCGGCGCGCCUAACACAUGCAAGUCGAACGGAGUCAAGAGGAGCUUGCUUUUCUUGACUUAGUGGCGAACGGGUGAGUAACGCGUGAGUAACCUGCCCUGGAGUGGGGGACAACAGUUGGAAACGACUGCUAAUACCGCAUAAGCCCACGGAUCCGCAUGGAUCUGCGGGAAAAGGAUUUAUUCGCUUCAGGAUGGACUCGCGUCCAAUUAGCUAGUUGGUGAGGUAACGGCCCACCAAGGCGACGAUUGGUAGCCGGACUGAGAGGUUGAACGGCCACAUUGGGACUGAGACACGGCCCAGACUCCUGCGGGAGGCAGCAGUGGGGGAUAUUGCACAAUGGGGGAAACCCUGAUGCAGCGACGCCGCGUGGAGGAAGAAGGUUUUCGGAUUGUAAACUCCUGUCGUUAGGGACGAUAAUGACGGUACCUAACAAGAAAGCACCGGCUAACUACGUG